RNAcentral lists this ribosomal RNA (218 nucleotides) under uncultured bacterium. Its description in RNAcentral is "partial 16S ribosomal RNA". It matches the Rfam family "Bacterial small subunit ribosomal RNA", at positions 99 to 334 of the family's 1533-position model. The record is from RNAcentral.
CGGACGGGUGAGUAACGCGUAAGAACCUGCCCUUAGAGGGGGACAACAGCUGGAAACGGUUGCUAAUACCCCAUAUGCUGAGGAGCAAAAGGAGGAAUCCGCCCAAGGAGGGUCUUGCGUCUGAUUAGCUAGUUGGUGAGGUAAUGGCUCACCAAGGCAACGAUCAGUAGCUGGUCUGAGAGGAUGAUCAGCCACACUGGGACUGAGACACGGCCCAG